UCCAAAAGAAAGCUGGUGUUUCACGCGGG
RNAcentral lists this small RNA (29 nucleotides) under Bombyx mori (domestic silkworm). RNAcentral describes it as "ovarian small RNA-26437". The record is from RNAcentral. Lineage: Eukaryota; Metazoa; Arthropoda; Insecta; Lepidoptera; Bombycidae.